This 472-nucleotide ribosomal RNA is filed under the name uncultured bacterium. RNAcentral's name for it is "bacterial SSU rRNA". It matches the Rfam family "Bacterial small subunit ribosomal RNA", at positions 328 to 793 of the family's 1533-position model. The record is from RNAcentral.
CUACGCCACUCCUACGGGAGGCAGCAGUGGGGAAUAUUGCACAAUGGGCGCAAGCCUGAUGCAGCCAUGCCGCGUGUAUGAAGAAGGCCUUCGGGUUGUAAGUACUUUCAGCAGUGAGGAAGGUGGGUAUGUUAAUAGCAUACUCAUUUGACGUUAGCUGCAGAAGAAGCACCGGCUAACUCCGUGCCAGCAGCCGCGGUAAUACGGAGGGUGCGAGCGUUAAUCGGAAUUACUGGGCGUAAAGCGCAUGCAGGUGGUUUGUUAAGUCAGAUGUGAAAGCCCGGGGCUCAACCUCGGAAUUGCAUUUGAAACUGGCAAACUAGAGUACUGUAGAGGGGGUAGAAUUUCAGGUGUAGCGGUGAAAUGCGUAGAGAUCUGAAGGAAUACCGGUGGCGAAGGCGGCCCCCCUGGACAGAUACUGACACUCAGAUGCGAAAGCGUGGGGAGCAAACAGGAUUAGAUACCCUGGUAG